GAUGAACGCUGGCGGCGUGCCUAACACAUGCAAGUCGAGCGUGAACCGUCUGAAUGAAACUUCGGUCGAGUGAGGAUGGGGAAAGCGGCGGACGGGUGAGUAACGCGUAGGCAACCUGCCCCGUACAGAGGGAUAGCCUCGGGAAACCGGGAUUAAGACCUCAUAAUACCAUUAUCUCACAUGUGAUAAUGGUCAAAGAUUUUAUCGGUAUGGGAUGGGCCUGCGUCUGAUUAGCUGGUUGGUGGGGUAACGGGCUCACCAAGGCGACGAUCAGUAGCCGACCUGAGAGGGUAAUCGGCCACAUUGGAACUGAGACACGGUCCAAACUCCUACGGGAGGCAGCAGUGGGGAAUAUUGCACAAUGGGCGAAAGCCUGAUGCAGCAACGCCGCGUGAGCGAGGAAGGCCUUUGGGUCGUAAAGCUCUGUCGAGGAGGAAGAUAAUGACGGUACUCCUCGAGGAAGCCCCGGCUAACUACGUGCCAGCAGCCGCGGUAAA
RNAcentral lists this ribosomal RNA (497 nucleotides) under uncultured bacterium. RNAcentral describes it as "bacterial SSU rRNA". It matches the Rfam family "Bacterial small subunit ribosomal RNA", at positions 28 to 524 of the family's 1533-position model. The record is from RNAcentral.